CCUACGGGAGGCAGCAGUGAGGAAUAUUGGUCAAUGGACGAGAGUCUGAACCAGCCAAGUAGCGUGAAGGAUGACUGCCCUAUGGGUUGUAAACUUCUUUUAUAUGGGAAUAAAAUGUUCCACGUGUGGGAUUUUGUAUGUACCAUAUGAAUAAGGAUCGGCUAACUCCGUGCCAGCAGCCGCGGUAAUACGGAGGAUCCGAGCGUUAUCCGGAUUUAUUGGGUUUAAAGGGAGCGUAGGUGGAUUGUUAAGUCAGUUGUGAAAGUUUGCGGCUCAACCGUAAAAUUGCAGUUGAAACUGGCAGUCUUGAGUACAGUAGAGGUGGGCGGAAUUCGUGGUGUAGCGGUGAAAUGCUUAGAUAUCACGAAGAACUCCGAUUGCGAAGGCAGCUCACUGGACUGCAACUGACACUGAGGCUCGAAAGUGUGGGUAUCAAACAGGAUUAGAUACCCCAGUAGUC
RNAcentral lists this ribosomal RNA (460 nucleotides) under uncultured bacterium. Its description in RNAcentral is "partial 16S ribosomal RNA". It matches the Rfam family "Bacterial small subunit ribosomal RNA", at positions 338 to 795 of the family's 1533-position model. The record is from RNAcentral.